This 3095-nucleotide long non-coding RNA is filed under the name Heterocephalus glaber (naked mole-rat). Its description in RNAcentral is "lncRNA (ENSHGLG00000043099.1)". The record is from RNAcentral. Lineage: Eukaryota; Metazoa; Chordata; Mammalia; Rodentia; Bathyergidae.
GAAAGGGCAGUGUUUAAAUAUGUUAUUAUCAAAGCGUAAGCACUAGAGGGCAGCAGCCACCCAAGAGUUGCAGAUGAGGGGUGUCUGGAGGAAGCUGGAGAUCAGGUGAGUGGAAUCCGAGGGGCUGCAGGAGACCCUUACAGAAUGAUUUAAGUGAUUCUAAAUCAGACGAGGCUUUGGACAACCGCUGUGAAGUCCGUGAAAGCCGAGCAGACAGGAUGCCCCUCCUCCUGACAACGAGGCCUCCCUCGUGAGCUUGUGCCAGAGAAGAGGGAGCAUUCGCGCCAGGCCUUCACACACAGGAACACCAGCGUCACUGCCACUUACACUUCCGUCCGUGUCACCUGGAGAGGUGGUGGCGAGUCGCUCUCUGAGCACGUGGGUGUGGAGACGCCGGGGAAGCAUGGGGUGGAUCCUGGGAGCAGAAGAAUGAGAGGCAGUGUGACCCGAGGCUCAUGAGCAGACCGUGGCAGGUGUUGAAGAGAGGGGCUGAGGGACUGAAGCGGCAGAGGCACAACCCUGAAGAGCAAUUUUGGCAUGGGGACAAGCUGCUGGGAAUCGACCUCUCACAGCUCUGCUGUCCCAGGGAUUGAACUCGGGUCCUUGAGCUUGCGCAGCAGGCGGUGAAACCACUGAGCUGAAUCCCCACCCCCCUAAACUUAUAUUUAAUAUUUUUCUUUUACAAAAAUUAGAACAUGGGCCUGGGAUGUAGCUCAGUGGCACUGUGUUUGCCUCGAAAGAGCAAGGUCCUAAGCUCCUCCCCGCCAUCCCAAGCUCCUAGGGCAGAGAAGGUGAGCCACGUGGGCGCCAGAAGCACCGCCCCCCCCCCCCCGCCCCGUGGAAAUGAGAAGACACAUAAACAAGCCUCAAAAACAGACUUCUGGAUCACCUACAGCAACCCCAAAGAGAAACGAGAUGGAACAAUCUGAUACUCAACCACCUGGACUCUCUGAACUGGCAACAAAAGAGGAUCUGGGAAAAAUGAAAUCAGAAAUAAUUUCUCAGAUAACAGCAAAGAUUUUGCUCAUGGUGCAAGACAUGAAAGAGCAAGGUCCUGAGUUCAAUCCUUACCACCAUCAAAAAAAAAAAAUUAAGGCAUACUGCCAUCCCUGUAUCAACUCACUCAGUACUACAUUUUGGCAGUCUUGCUAAAUUUACUUUGUUUUCUUAAAUAACUGCCUAAUAAGCUGUUUCUGACAAUGCUACCAUCAUUUAAUUGAAUAGAUCUCCAAGUUGAAGGACCCUGGGGCUGCUUUUAAUGUUUGGUAUUUGAGUUAAAUUUUAAAUAAGAGAAGAGACACACAUUGAUGAAGGGAGGAUUCUAGGUUAUGAAAAAAAAUCUUGAUUGAUCGAUCGAUUGAUUGUAGAACUGGGGAUUGAACCCAAGGGUUUCCCCAUGUUAGGGAAGCACUCUACCACUGAGCUACCUCCCUGUCCCUUUUCUUUUUAUUUUGAGACAGAGCCUUGCUAAAUGGUCCAGGCAGGCCUUGAACAUGGAAUCCUCCUGACUCAGCCUCUGGAGUAGCUGGGAGUAUAGGUGUGGGUCACCAUGCCUGGCUUGGAAAGAUGUUUAUACAUAAACAGGGGACCCUAGCAUUUUUGUCUCAGGAGCUACUCUUGCUUGUGGAAGUGAACAUAUUAAUGAGGACGGAGGUGGGAAAGAAUGGAUGUUUGUGCAGGCCUUUGAGUCUGUGAGUUGGGCUGUGACAUGUCGCACAGGACUGGGGAGAAGCUGGCCACAGCUCCUCUAGACCAGGAGAGGAGCUGCCCCAGGAUCCCUCCGGAGACGCACGCUCUUGCUAUCCCCAGCUGUCCCCCUUAUUGUCAACCGACCAUUAGCAUGGUUUUCUGGGCCCCGUUUUCAAGCUAGAAACGUGAAGGGUUCGAAAGGACACAGGAGAGACCUAGAGCUUUUGGGGAAAUUUGUUCAGGGAGAUGAGACUCGAGAAGCGAGCCUUAUGUCUCAGGCUGCCUCCCACCAGUUCCUCCAUUCUGUCCUCUGCCUGCUGAUGUUGGAAGAAUCAGUCUGGAAGCUGCUGUUUACCAGUGGCAUAGUCUUGAGUAACAUCUCCAAGCUUCAGUUCCUCCAUCCAUAAAAUGGGCAGAAUGUUCAACUGGCAGCAGUGUGGGGAAGAUUGAAUGAGUUGAUGGAUGUGGAGGGUCUGUGUUUCAUUUUGCCUUUCUUUCCCAAGGCCUGGCCAGAGUAGAGUUUACGAGGCAGUGUGCCAUCUACCCUAAGAUGAUAGAGAAAAGCAUAUUCUACUCUUCCCUGGGCCGGCCGGCCAAUGUUGUAGCUGGCUGUUGGUCUAGUGAUGUUUUUGGGGUCUCCAGAGCAACCUGUGACCUGAAGCCAACUCUGAAAGAGGAGGAGUGGGUCAAAGACAUAGAGAUCAAAGAUUAGACAGGACAGGGUGCUUAGAGUGCUAGAUUUGGAAUUUUAAAAAAGGAAAGUGAAGAAUUAAUUUUACUCAGAGAAGUCUGGCCUGGGUCUUUAGCUGCUGGGAGAUGGUGUCUCGCCUGGGGAUGUCCUGCCUGGCGGGAAGAUCUGUUUGCCUGAGGAGCCUGGCCAGCAGGUGGCUGAGCAGUGUGAUUCAUAAUGGGGCUUUGCACCUGGCCGCAUCAGUCCCCACGGAAGGGAGACGAAAGGGCAUCCUUGGCACGGAAUCCUGGGGUGAGCAUCCUGGUAAGCAGGAUGCUUCAGCUUUGCCUCCCCAAGAGACUGGGAGGAAGAGAUGACAGGAGAAGACAGAAGCUUUGUGUUCGGGCCCUUUUCAGAGUUUGCCCUGUGUGUUCUUUUGGCAGCUUCUGAUUUGUAUCCUUUUGCUAUAAUAAAACUUUAAUUGUAAGUAUUUUGCUUUCCUGAGUUCUGUGAGUUAUUCUAGUAAAUGAUCAAACCAGAGGAGACAGCAGGCCCCCUGGACUUGUGUCUGCAGACACAGAGGGCCUGGAGGUGCCUGGCAGAUCUCCAGAACUCCUUACCUUUUCUUGCCUCACUAUGGAGUAGCUGUUCUACCCCUUCCCCGGCCUCACUAGCAGCUGCAGCUUGGCACUGGACCUGCCCGGCACACUGGCUGAAGCAGUAUUCCUAAGUGUCA